RNAcentral lists this non-coding RNA (87 nucleotides) under Planctomycetales bacterium. RNAcentral's name for it is "SAH sequence". It matches the Rfam family "SAH (S-adenosyl-L-homocysteine) riboswitch aptamer". The record is from RNAcentral. Lineage: Bacteria; Pseudomonadati; Planctomycetota; Planctomycetia; Planctomycetales.
CCCGUCGAGGGGCGCUGCGACGGCGCGCAGGGGCGCGCCUGCCAGGCUCGAUGGGGUGGAGAUUUCGUGCAACGGCGCCCGUUCAUC